Long non-coding RNA from Argiope bruennichi, 588 nucleotides. RefSeq lists it as uncharacterized. NCBI's taxonomy places the organism in Eukaryota, Metazoa, Arthropoda, Arachnida, Araneae, Araneidae. The transcript is spliced from 3 exons. The record is from RefSeq and is a predicted model, not a curated record.
UAUUUUCAUCACAAACAUCUGUCUGUGACGAUAGAUUUAAAAAAAGAUUUACUUCCUUUUAUUUGUAAUUCGAUUAUUUACAAUAUAUAAGAUAUCACUGUUAGCAAAAGUUAUAGAUUAAUAAGUUGAAAGAAAAUCUCUACUGAAAUCUUGAUUCAGAAAUAAUAAUAAUAAAAAAUGAUGUUAAAAUGUCUGGCAUUUCUGCUUUUGCUCGCCGUCGUCGGUGCCGCUAGUAGUGAUUCUAUGGAGAAUUUCCUCAGUUUGUUCACUCAAGUGGCGUGUGGGGACGGAUUUUAUUCGGAAUUUAACCAAGCAAUUCAGGCCUGUGGCAAAUGUAUCAGACUGACAUGUUCUACACAGAAAGUGGACCCCUUACAAUGUGGAAUUAGAUCGUAAUAAAGAAGACCCGAAAUUCCGAAUGGAAAGGAAGGCAAUUUGGAAAUAAGACAACUUUUGGAAAGAAAGCCAUACUUAAAAAGAUAGCUGCUCAUUGAAGAAAAUAAGAAUGAAAGAAAGAAAAUUAUUGCUUGAUGUCUUUGUAAAAUUGUUUUUAAUAAUUUCAAUUCAUUAAAAUAUUCAUAAAAUUUU